Molecule: ribosomal RNA, 437 nt
Filed under: uncultured bacterium
Lineage: Bacteria
Description: partial 16S ribosomal RNA
Rfam family: Bacterial small subunit ribosomal RNA
Source: RNAcentral
AGCGAACGCUGGCGGCAGGCUUAACACAUGCAAGUCGAGCGGGCACCUUUCGGGGUGUCAGCGGAGGACGGGUGAGUAACGCGUGGGAACGUGCCCUCUGGUUCGGAAUAACUCAGGGAAACUUGAGCUAAUACCGGAUACGCCCUUUUGGGGAAAGGCUUGCUGCCGGAGGAUCGGCCCGCGUCUGAUUAGCUAGUUGGUGAGGUAACGGCUCACCAAGGCGACGAUCAGUAGCUGGUCUGAGAGGAUGAUCAGCCACACUGGGACUGAGACACGGCCCAGACUCCUACGGGAGGCAGCAGUGGGGAAUAUUGGACAAUGGGCGCAAGCCUGAUCCAGCCAUGCCGCGUGAGUGAUGAAGGCCUUAGGGUUGUAAAGCUCUUUUAUCCGGGACGAUAAUGACGGUACCGGAGGAAUAAGCCCCGGCUAACUUCGUG